Molecule: ribosomal RNA, 465 nt
Filed under: uncultured Klebsiella sp.
Lineage: Bacteria; Pseudomonadati; Pseudomonadota; Gammaproteobacteria; Enterobacterales; Enterobacteriaceae
Description: bacterial SSU rRNA
Rfam family: Bacterial small subunit ribosomal RNA
Source: RNAcentral
CCUACGGGGGGCAGCAGUGGGGAAUAUUGCACAAUGGGCGCAAGCCUGAUGCAGCCAUGCCGCGUGUGUGAAGAAGGCCUUCGGGUUGUAAAGCACUUUCAGCGGGGAGGAAGGCGGUGAGGUUAAUAACCUCAUCGAUUGACGUUACCCGCAGAAGAAGCACCGGCUAACUCCGUGCCAGCAGCCGCGGUAAUACGGAGGGUGCAAGCGUUAAUCGGAAUUACUGGGCGUAAAGCGCACGCAGGCGGUCUGUCAAGUCGGAUGUGAAAUCCCCGGGCUCAACCUGGGAACUGCAUUCGAAGCUGGCAGGCUAGAGUCUUGUAGAGGGGGGUAGAAUUCCAGGUGUAGCGGUGAAAUGCGUAGAGAUCUGGAGGAAUACCGGUGGCGAAGGCGGCCCCCUGGACAAAGACUGACGCUCAGGUGCGAAAGCGUGGGGAGCAAACAGGAUUAGAUACCCCGGUAGUC